This 438-nucleotide ribosomal RNA is filed under the name uncultured bacterium. RNAcentral's name for it is "bacterial SSU rRNA". It matches the Rfam family "Bacterial small subunit ribosomal RNA", at positions 355 to 804 of the family's 1533-position model. The record is from RNAcentral.
UCAAGAAACUUCCACAAUGGGCGAAAGCCUGAUGGAGCGACGUCGCGUGAUGGACGAAGUGCUUCGGCACGUAAACAUCUUUUAUGUGGGAUGAAAUUAUUGACAGUACCACAUGAAUAAGGGGCUCCUAACUCUGUGCCAGCAGGAGCGGUAAUACAGAGGCCCCAAGCGUUAUCCGGAAUCACUGGGCGUAAAGGGUGUCGAGGCGGUUGUAUUAGUCGUUCGUAAAAUCUACGAGCUUAACUUGUAGGCGGCGAACGAAACGGUACGACUUGAGGUUUGGAGAGGUGCGUGGAACUCACGGUGUAGGGGUGAAAUCCGUUGAUAUCGUGGGGAACACCAAAGGCGAAGGCAGCGCACUGGCCAAAAUCUGACGCUCACACACGAAAAGCUAGGGUAGCGAAGAGGAUUAGAUACCCAAGUAGUCCCUGAGCGGGC